UGCAGUAUAAUGCUAGCACUCAGGAGGUGGAGGCAAGAAGAUAAAGAGUUCAAGGCCUACCUAAGCAUCGCUGGAGGUCAAUCUGAGGGCAGACAGAGUUGUGAAGCUCAUUAGAACUUCGUAAGAAUGUAGCAUUACUAAUAAUUUUGGACACCUUGAAUAUGAAGAGGUUUCAAUUUUCAGAAAGCCAGCCUAUUCCAACAGCCCCAGUUGUACCCAGAAGGCAACAUUCAACUUUCAAUCCACUCUAGGCUGGGCUUGGUUAAAGCCGGUGAGGGGGGACAUUGCUACUGACUCCCUUGCUAGCACUGAGAAACUCUGCCUGCUGCAUGAUCACACCUUCUAUGAACCUCCCACACCCACUGCAUGACUGUUCUUGAAGUCCUGAUUGAAUGGGGCCUCCUGCCUCAGUGUCCAGCUACAUUCUAGAACGCUUGAUUGCGGUACAACUGCUUGCUACCGAGGCUUCUCCCUCCACGAGCACAUUAAGUGAUGCACUGCCAUACUUUUAGUCAUUCUUCCAACCGGUAGCUGAAAUUUCUACAUUUCUUAUUAGUGCAUUUUAAGUCAAAUAUUAUAAAUAAAAUACAAUUGUUCUUAAAGUUCUUCUUCCUUGAGAGAAAUGGGUCUUGAUUUCAAAUUAUAACUUGAAAUAAAUUCUUAAACCAUUAGCUUCCACCAAAAAGAAGGUUGCCUAGUGUAGGACAGACAAUGUGGCAAAGAACAGGGCUUUGGGAUGUGUUUGCACAUUUGAGUCGUACUUUGACUGACAACAUGAAGAUACAUAGAGAUUAUGUCAUGAAGUUUCUGAAGGUAAAAUAAAUGGCAU
Cricetulus griseus (Chinese hamster) is the source of this 829-nucleotide non-coding RNA. The record is from RefSeq and is a predicted model, not a curated record. Lineage: Eukaryota; Metazoa; Chordata; Mammalia; Rodentia; Cricetidae.